RNAcentral lists this ribosomal RNA (458 nucleotides) under uncultured bacterium. RNAcentral describes it as "partial 16S ribosomal RNA". It matches the Rfam family "Bacterial small subunit ribosomal RNA", at positions 29 to 507 of the family's 1533-position model. The record is from RNAcentral.
AACGAACGCUGGCGGCAUGCCUAACACAUGCAAGUCGAACGAGACCUGCGGGUCUAGUGGCGCACUGGGGCGUAACGCGGGGGGACCUGCCCUUAGGUUCGGAAUAACUCCCCGGAAGGGGUGCUAAUACCGGAGAAUGUCUUCCGACCAAAGAGUGAGCGCCUGUGGAUGGGCCUGCGUUGGAUUAGCUAGUUGGUAGGGUAAAAGGCUACCAAGGCGACGAUCGAUAGCCGGUCAGAGAGGAGGAUCAGCCACACUGGGACGGAGAAAGGGCCCAGACUCUGGCGGUAGGCACCGGCGGGGAAUAUUGGAGAAGGGGCGAAGGCCUGAUCCAGCCAAGCCGCGUGUGGCAAGAAGGACCUCGGACGGUAAAGUACUUUAAGUUGGGGGGUAGGGCAGUAAGUUAAUCCCGUGCUAUAUUGACGUUACCGGCAGAAUAAGCCCCGGCUAACUCCGUG